Molecule: long non-coding RNA, 453 nt
Organism: Suricata suricatta (meerkat)
Lineage: Eukaryota; Metazoa; Chordata; Mammalia; Carnivora; Herpestidae
Exons: 3
Source: RefSeq, a predicted model, not a curated record
CUAUGGAUGGAAGAUAAAUGCUCUAAAAAUGGCCAAUACUGCAAACCGGAGGAUUAUUCCGGCGAGGUUUCACUUCUUCACAACGUACAGAUAACUAGCGCACAACAGUGUUGAAGCCUUGGUGACGAGUCACGUGCUAUUCUCAUCCCAGGGAAAAUGAGAAAGAAAAUAAGCAGUCUGAGGCCUGAGAAAGACUAUAAAAGAAAACAGCCCAAUUCACAGCUAAUCUCCAUGGAGGAGUAGUUUCAGGUGUACAGCCGACUGAUUUCAUACGCUAUGCUGUGCUCACGAGGGCAGCUGCCGCCUGCUACCACACAUCACUCUUGCAGUGCCAUAGACUGUAUUUCCUGUGCCGGACCCUUCAUCGCCAUGCCUUACUCGCUCCAUAGCUGGAAGCCUGCCACUCCCACUCUCUGUCACUUUUGCCCAUUCCUCCACCCUCCCUUCCCUACG